RNAcentral lists this long non-coding RNA (563 nucleotides) under Ficedula albicollis (Collared flycatcher). Its description in RNAcentral is "lncRNA (ENSFALG00000018074.2)". The record is from RNAcentral. Lineage: Eukaryota; Metazoa; Chordata; Aves; Passeriformes; Muscicapidae.
UUCACCAUCUUUGCCAAGUGCAGCUUGGUGAUAGAGAAUCAAAGCUAGAAAUGUUCUGUAUUUCUCUGUUUAGGGUAGCUGUAGAUUCACUUUGCAUGUACAAUAUAGCCACCUGGAGGAAAAGGACACAGACGCUUUCUCUGCUCUUCCUAACAAAGGGAUAAAGCAGAGCACAUCACCAUCUGCUCAGACCUGUCUGAUGUUGGGCAGCUCAGGCACCUGCUGAAAGGCCGUCUCUCCUGGAUGCAGCCCCAGUCAAGCAACAGGCUCUGGGCAGGACAGUGCCAGUGAGACAGCAUUCACAUACACAGAAAUCACAGGAGGAAAACAAUUGGUGAACUUCACAACCUACAAAUUCCCUUCUUUGCUUGAAGAAGGUCUCUGGUGUUCAGCCAGUCUCCUAUGGUGCUUGGCCUUGAAAAUGCAUAGCAAGUUGGAAGUUCUAUCUAGCGGUUUCUGGAAAACUUUUCAAUAUGACAUUUCAUUUCCUUUAAAUCAAGGUAAGAGAACACUUCUCUUAAUGUGAUAUUAAAUCUGGGUGAAAAUAGAAAUGGAGACAGAGA